CGCGUAGGCUGUUAUGUGUGUCAGAUGUGAAAUCCCAAGGCUUAACCUUGGAACUGCAUUUGAAACUGCAUGACUAGAGUGAGUAAGAGGCGGACGGAAUUCCGAGUGUAGCAGUGAAAUGCGCAGAUAUUCGGAGGAACAUCGGUGGCGAAGGCGGUUCGCUGGUACUCUACUGACGCUGAGGCGCGAAAGCGUGGGGAGCAAACA
This 207-nucleotide ribosomal RNA is filed under the name uncultured bacterium. Its description in RNAcentral is "partial 16S ribosomal RNA". It matches the Rfam family "Bacterial small subunit ribosomal RNA", at positions 568 to 774 of the family's 1533-position model. The record is from RNAcentral.